UCGCUGCUAGAUGAGCCCGCGUCCGAUUAGCUAGUUGGCGGGGUAAUGGCCCACCAAGGCUAUGAUCGGUAGCUGGUCUGAGAGGACGAUCAGCCUCACUGGGACUGAGACACGGCCCAG
This 120-nucleotide ribosomal RNA is filed under the name uncultured bacterium. Its description in RNAcentral is "partial 16S ribosomal RNA". It matches the Rfam family "Bacterial small subunit ribosomal RNA", at positions 215 to 334 of the family's 1533-position model. The record is from RNAcentral.